UGAUUAAGUAAAAUUUUAUUCGUUAUUCCCAUUAUUUGUUAUUUGCAUUAUUUAUUAUUUGCAUUAUUCGUUAUUCGUAUUAUUGGCUAUUAUUCGUUAUUUGCGAUUUUAUUACAUAAAAAUCUUGACACAGUGACAGAGUAGGUUUCACAGUGAUAACAAGUGGUUGAAUUUUAGUCUUUAAUUGUUGAGCUCUGUUUCUAAUUCUUUGGAUAUUGGGCACCAAAUCAUUUAUUAUCUGAACAGAAUAAUUUUAUAAGGAGAUUAACAUAAAUAUAAAAUAAAAUAAAAUCAAUAAAAAAUAAAUGAACAUUUUUUAUACAAUAUUAUCAUUAGUCAGAAUUAAAAAAUUUUAAAUAAUUUACUUUUACAUGAAGAAUGAAUGCAUCUAUUAUUUCUUGUGUAGAAGGCUUCCAUCUCUUUCUAUAAUUGUCACAGCAAUCAAUUUUGUUCUCUAUAAAAUCAAUAGUUUAAAAAAAUGUAAAACUAGAUUGCUUAGGGCGCGUUCCACUUAACAUUCGCAACGUAUCAUUUUAUUCUUGUUGUUUGUCAAAUCUUAAACAGACAGAUAGUGUUUUGGACUUUUGUGAGCUUUAAGUGAAACACGCUUUUAGUACCAAGAGAUUGGCUAUGUUUGGAUGUACAUUACGAUGUACAUUACAAAUUUCUCAUGUGCUUAUAAUGGCUAUAAUAAUGAUUUUUAAGGUUACAUAACUUUAAAAAUACAAAUCUGUCAAAGAUAUGGAUAUUGUGCUAUCUAGAACUAUACGCAACGUGAAUUAUAUCAGAACACAAUCAUUAUAAGCUAACAUACAACGUACCAAAUGAAUAGUAUAUAUCAGAAACUGAAUUCUCGUAAAUAUAUUAAACUAUACGAAUCUUUGAAGAUUUCAAUAUAUUCUUCAAAUCCCCAUUCACGGAAAGAAACGAAAAGAUAGUCGCACAUAUGGGCACACAAUCGUGAAACAUCAGGUCUCGAACACUGAAGCUAAGUUCAAAACGCGGGAGAAAGGACGCUCCAUCCAAAUAGUGUGGUUGUGAAUAUUAGAUUAUUUAGUUACAAUAACCAGAACUUCUGUUUAAUUUCACCAAUAUCUUUUUAACCAGACAUGUGUUAAUUCUAUCGUGUUUUUUUUCCUUAGUAGUUAUAAUAAUCAGACAAUUGGAUUUUAUUACUACGUAAGCAUUAACCAAAUUCUAAUCAAUAUCAUAACUAAAUGUUCUGGUUAUAUAACAAAAUACUUGAUUAUAAUAACCUGAAAUUCUGUUUUGACCAACCAAAAUUUAUUUAACCAAA
Molecule: long non-coding RNA, 1297 nt
Organism: Solenopsis invicta (red fire ant)
Lineage: Eukaryota; Metazoa; Arthropoda; Insecta; Hymenoptera; Formicidae
Exons: 2
Source: RefSeq, a predicted model, not a curated record